AUGCUGUCCGAGGGGUCGUCAGCCACCGUUGUGAUGCGUUGUCGGAACGCCGGCGGUUGGAACGUUGGCGUCGGCGCCGGGAUGACACGCAUCACCACCCUGUGGAUUAUCUGGGCCAGCUGGCUCUGCUUGACGGCCAACGGACAGAUGAAGAUACCGCCGGAAACGGUUCAGCAGUGGGCCGUCUCUUAUGGAAAACAAAUGAUUGGUCUUUCAACAAAAUACUCUGGUGCUCUGCUGCUCCAAAAGGUGACCCACAGAAACCUCCUCUGAUUUAGACAUGGGUGAACUGUGUGUGUGUGUGUGUGUGUGUGUGUGUGUGUGUGUGUGUGUGUGUGUGUGUGUGUGUGUCACGUUCUGACCUUUAUUUCCUUUGUUUUGUAUUUAUUUAGUAUGGUCAGGGCGUGAGUUGGGGUGGGCAGUCUAUGUUUGUUUUUCUAUGAUUUGGGGAUUUCUAUGUUUCGGCCUAGUAUGAUUCUCAAUCAGAGGCAGGUGUCAUUAGUUGUCUCUGAUUGAGAAUCAUACUUUGGUAGCCUGGGUUUCUCUGUUUGUGUGUGUGGAGGGGCUUCCCUACAGGGUGAGCUCAGCCCAAUCAAAGAGAGAAGGGCAGCAAGAUAACAAUUUGUAUGAUCACUGCUGUUUGUGGGUGUUGAAUUGAGACUGUGUUUGUGGAUGGAGACUGUGUUUGUUGAAUGGAGACUGUGGAUGUUGAAUGGAGACUGUGUUUGUUGAAUGAUGACUGUGGAUGUUGAAUGGAGACUGUAUUUGUGGAUGUUGAAUGGAGACUGUGUUUGUUGAAUGGAGACUGUGGAUGUUGAAUGGAGACUGUGUUUGUUGAAUGGAGACUGUGGAUGUUGAAUGGAGACUGUAUUUGUUGAAUGGAGACUGUGGAUGUUGAAUGGAGACUGUGUUUGUUGAAUGGAGACUGUGGAUGUUGAAUGGAGACUGUAUUUGUGGAUGUUGAAUGGAGACUGUGUUUGUUGAAUGGAGACUGUGGAUGUUGAAUGGAGACUGUGUUUGUUGAAUGGAGACUGUGGAUGUUGAAUGGAGACUGUAUUUGUGGAUGUUGAAUGGAGACUGUGUUUGUUGAAUGGAGACUGUGGAUGUUGAAUGGAGACUGUGUUUGUUGAAUGGAGACUGUGGAUGUUGAAUGGAGACUGUGUUUGUGGAUGUUGAAUUGAGACUGUGUUUGUGGAUGGAGACUGUGGAUGUUGAAUGGAGACUGUGUUUGUUGAAUGGAGACUGUGGAUGUUGAAUGGAGACUGUGGAUGUUGAAUGGAGACUGUGUUUGUUGAAUGGAGACUGUGUGUGGAUGUUGAAUGGAGACUGUGUGUGGAUGUUGAAUGGAGACUGUGUUUGUGGAUGUUGAAUGGAGACUGUGUUUGUGGAUGGAGACUGUAUUUGUGGAUGUUGAAUUGAGACUGUGUUUGUGGAUGGAGACUGUGUUUGUGGAUGUUGAAUGGAGACUGUGUUUGUUGAAUGGAGACUGUGUUUGUGGAUGUUGAAUGGAGACUGUGUUUGUUGAAUGGAGACUGUGGAUGUUGAAUGGAGACUGUGUUUGUGGAUGUUGAAUUGAGACUGUGUUUGUUGAAUGGAGACUGUGUUUGUGGAUGGAGACUGUGUUUGUUGAAUGGAGACUGUGUUUGUGGAUGUUGAAUGGAGACUGUUUGUGGAUGUUGAAUGGAGACUGUGUUUGUGGAUGGAGACUGUGUUUGUUGAAUGGAGACUGUGGAUGUUGAAUGGAGACUGUGUUUGUGGAUGGAGACUGUGUUUGUUGAAUGGAGACUGUGUUUGUGGAUGUUGAAUGGAGACUGUUUGUGGAUGUUGAAUGGAGACUGUGUUUGUGGAUGGAGGCUGUGUUUGUUGAAUGGAGACUGUGUUUGUGGAUAUUGAAUGGAGACUGUGUUUGUGGAUGGAGACUGUGUUUGUUGAAUGGAGACUGUGUUUGUUGAAUGGAGACUGUGGAUGUUGAAUGGAGACUGUGUUUGUUGAAUGAUGACUGUGGAUGUUGAAUGGAGACUGUAUUUGUGGAUGUUGAAUGGAGACUGUGUUUGUUGAAUGGAGACUGUGGAUGUUGAAUGGAGACUGUGUUUGUUGAAUGGAGACUGUGGAUGUUGAAUGGAGACUGUAUUUGUGGAUGUUGAAUGGAGACUGUGUUUGUUGAAUGGAGACUGUGGAUGUUGAAUGGAGACAGUGUUUGUUGAAUGGAGACUGUGGAUGUUGAAUGGAGACUGUGUUUGUGGAUGGAGACUGUGUUUGUUGAAUGGAGACUGUGUUUGUGGAUGUUGAAUGGAGACUGUUUGUGGAUGUUGAAUGGAGACUGUGUUUGUGGAUGGAGACUGUGUUUGUUGAAUGGAGACUGUGUUUGUGGAUGUUGAAUGGAGACUGUGUUUGUGGAUGGAGACUGUGUUUGUUGAAUGGAGACUGUGUUUGUGGAUGUUGAAUGGAGACUGUGUUUGUGGAUGGAGACUGUGUUUGUUGAAUGGAGACUGUGUUUGUGUUUGUUGAAUGGAGACUGUGUUUGUUGAAUGGAGACUGUGUUUGUGGAUGUUGAAUUGAGACUGUUUGUGGAUGGAGACUGUGUUUGUUGAAUGGAGACUGUGGAUGUUGAAUGGAGACUGUGUUUGUGGAUGUUGAAUUGAGACUGUGUUUGUGGAUGGAGACUGUGUUUGUUGAAUGGAGACUGUGGAUGUUGAAUGGAGACUGUGUUUGUUGAAUGGAGACUGUGUUUGUUGAAUGGAGACUGUGGAUGUUGAAUGGAGACUGUGUUUGUUGAAUGGAGACUGUGGAUGUUGAAUGGAGACUGUAUUUGUGGAUGUUGAAUGGAGACUGUGUUUGUUGAAUGGAGACUGUGGAUGUUGAAUGGAGACUGUGUUUGUUGAAUGGAGACUGUGGAUGUUGAAUGGAGACUGUAUUUGUGAAUGUUGAAUGGAGACUGUGUUUGUUGAAUGGAGACUGUGGAUGUUGAAUGGAGACUGUGUUUGUUGAAUGGAGACUGUGGAUGUUGAAUGGAGACUGUGUUUGUGGAUGUUGAAUUGAGACUGUGUUUGUGGAUGGAGACUGUGGAUGUUGAAUGGAGACUGUGUUUGUUGAAUGGAGACUGUGUUUGUUGAAUGGAGACUGUGGAUGUUGAAUGGAGACUGUGGAUGUUGAAUGGAGACUGUGUUUGUUGAAUGGAGACUGUGUGUGGAUGUUGAAUGGAGACUGUGUGUGGAUGUUGAAUGGAGACUGUGUUUGUGGAUGUUGAAUGGAGACUGUGUUUGUGGAUGGAGACUGUGUUUGUGGAUGUUGAAUGGAGACUGUGUUUGUUGAAUGGAGACUGUGUUUGUGGAUGUUGAAUUGAGACUGUGUUUGUGGAUGGAGACUGUGUUUGUUGAAUGGAGACUGUGUUUGUGGAUGUUGAAUGGAGACUGUUUGUGGAUGUUGAAUGGAGACUGUGUUUGUGGAUGGAGACUGUGUUUGUUGAAUGGAGACUGUGUUUGUGGAUGUUGAAUGGAGACUGUGUUUGUGGAUGGAGACUGUGUUUGUUGAAUGGAGACUGUGUUUGUGGAUGUUGAAUGGAGACUGUGUUUGUGGAUGUUGAAUGGAGACUGUGUUUGUGGAUGGAGACUGUGUUUGUUGAAUGGAGACUGUGUUUGUUGAAUGGAGACUGUGUUUGUGGGUGUUGAAUGGAGACUGUGUUUGUUGAAUGGAGACUGUGUUUGUGGGUGUUGAAUGGAGACUGUGUUUGUGGAUGUUGAAUGGAGACUGUGUUUGUGGAUGGAGACUGUGUUUGUUGAAUGGAGACUGUGUUUGUGGGUGUUGAAUGGAGACUGUGUUUGUGGAUGUUGAAUUGAGACUGUUUGUGGAUGUUGAAUGGAGACUGUGUUUGUUGAAUGGAGACUGUAUUUGUGUUUGUUGAAUGGAGACUGUGUUUGUGGAUGUUGAAUGGAGACUGUGUUUGUGGAUGUUGAAUGGAGACUGUGUUUGUGUUUGAGAAGUGUGUAAGAAGAAAGAGACUAGGAAAGAGAGGCAGAGGGAGGAGGAAGAGUGGAGGAAGGAGUGAAGAAGGAUAGAGAUCGAUGGAGAGAUGAUUCCAGAAUGUGGAUUUACAGGAUUAAUCUGGACUAUAUGACAUCACAAUGGUUUUAGGCUGUGAGGGGAGGGGUUAGGGAACCCUUCCUCCGUGUACCAAUCGGAAGCAGCCUUACUGUACAGUGAAGACUACAUAACUGAAAUGCCGGCCACUGGAACUACACACUACUGUAAAACGACCCUCUCACAUACCGUCGGCUAUUUAAUAGGAACCAGAAACAGAACAUGGAACCAUAGUACGGUGUACCUUUGAGGAAAUUCUCACCCUCAGAGGUGAGGCUGGAGCCUGAGGGUGUCCUAACAGGGCCACCGUACCACGACUGUCUAAUCAGUUGAUAAAACAUAUAGAUAGAUUGGAUUAGCCUCCUUCUCAUAUGAGUGUGUUUCUGUCUGUCUUUUUGUUUAUAUCUCUUAUUCAGGCGAUGUUGCCCCUUAGUGCUGUGAUAUAUGGGUUUAGAGUUGGUGCUUGUCUUUCCUAUGUCAGAUUUCCUUUACAUAAGUUCUGCUCUAUUUCCUGUUCACGGUGUGAGUCGUGAGGAGAGGACAGCCCUUGUAGGUGCUGAUGGUGUGUGUGUGUGUGUGUGUGUGUGUGUGUGUGUGUGUGUGUGUGUGUGUGUAAUUACCAUCCUAGGUGUGAGUCCCAGCACUUCUCAGUAAUAAGCACGUGCUCUCUGUUCCCAAGCGACCCUGAAGACUACCCAGCAGGACCUGCAACAUCUGUCUGGUCUAAUACAUGCAGACAUACACACGUGCAGUCCCCCUCCCUAGUCUCUGAGCUCAUGUUGAAGACAAUGAUCUGACUGGAUGGAAUAAAAUAACACGUGCUGAAGCUUUUCAGAUGUUACAUUACGCUGGGGAAUAUAAUGUGUCUUAUUAGCAUUAUGCUGGGGAAUAUAAUGUGUCUUAUUAGCAUUAUACUGGGGAAUAUAAUGUGUCUUAUUAGCAUUAUGCGGGGGAAUAUAAUGUGUC
This 5043-nucleotide long non-coding RNA is filed under the name Oncorhynchus mykiss (rainbow trout). Its description in RNAcentral is "lncRNA (ENSOMYG00000049194.1)". The record is from RNAcentral. Lineage: Eukaryota; Metazoa; Chordata; Actinopteri; Salmoniformes; Salmonidae.